Molecule: ribosomal RNA, 324 nt
Filed under: uncultured eukaryote
Lineage: Eukaryota
Description: partial 18S ribosomal RNA
Rfam family: Eukaryotic small subunit ribosomal RNA
Source: RNAcentral
CCCUUAGAUGUUCUGGGCCGCACGCGCGCUACACUGAUGCAUUCAACGAGUUUCUUCCUGGUCCGAGAGGAAUGGGUAACCUUUUGAAAGUGCAUCGUGAUAGGGAUAGACUAUUGCAAUUAUUGGUCUUCAACGAGGAAUUCCUAGUAGACGUAGUUCAUCAGACUGCAUCGAUUACGUCCCUGCCCUUUGUACACACCGCCCGUCGCUCCUACCGAUUGAAUGCUCAGGUGAGCCAUUCGGACUUUCAUCAUGCUGGUUUCCAGUUUUGAUGAAGGAAAGUCUUGCGAACCUUACCAUUUAGAGGAAGGUGAAGUCGUAACA